RNAcentral lists this small nucleolar RNA (115 nucleotides) under Drosophila willistoni. The record is from RNAcentral. Lineage: Eukaryota; Metazoa; Arthropoda; Insecta; Diptera; Drosophilidae.
AAGCAAUUCUCUCAAGUUGCGUGGUUCAAAUACAAAGCCAAAAGCAAUUUUUGUUACGACGGUCACUGAUUUUGGUAAACUCUAGCCAUUUCAGUAACUUUUACGUGCAAUUACA